UGUACUAUUUUUGGAAAUUAUGUUGAUGAACUAAAUGCAUUUCUUACAUCUGGAAAAGUACAAAAUGUUGUAGUUAUAGUACAAUUAGCAAAAGUGAAAAGUUGGAAAGGUAUAAAGUUAUUCUUUUGCAUUUUUAAUUGAACAAAAUUGAAUAAUGUAUAAACUAAUGCUAUUUGUUGUAGACCAAAUACACUUGCAAAACUGUAUAAAUUAUACAAAGCUGAUUUUCAGGGCAGAAUGUGAGGAAGCUGUAAAUCUAGCAAAAAGGAUGUUUGAAAAUAUGGAGUACGUCACCUACACAGGAUUUGAGCCAACUCUCUGCAAAGGUAUCAACGUCGCAAGAGUUCUUGGAUUCUUCUAACAAAACAACCUUAUAAGGUCUCAAAGAUGGAAACGAGGAUAUAUGUUAUGUGGUAUUUGGUACCAUAAAUAACAUUGUUGAAGAAGAAGACUGGUCGUAUAUUGCCUGCAACUAUGCAAGGGUCGUUUAUCCAUACUCUAAGAUGUUUUUUCUGUGAUAAGUGCAACAAACAUAUCAUGAAUGUUUAUUUAAGGUUGCCAUUUUAAUUGAAAUAUGUGUAUAUCAAUACAUGAACAUGUACCACAUCAAAGUAAGGGUGAUUGAUGAUACGGAUUCAUCCACUUUUGUUAUCUUUGAUCGUGAUGCCACUAUUCUACUCAAUAAAUCAUGUAGUGAACUUUUUGAGCAACGUGAAAAGCAAGGUUCUGUGGGAGCUGUUCCAAAGGAUAUUUAUGAUUUGGUAGGAAAGAUUUUUCUCUUCAAGGUUGAGUCAAAAAUAGCACUAAUCCAAAAUUUGGACAAUCUUUUAGAGUUAAGAAAAUUUGUCCUGAUAUGUGUAUAAUCAAGAAGUUUAAGGAAGCUACAUCUGAUUAUAAUUUUAAGGACUCACAAAGGGAAGAUGCAUCCACUAAUUUCCACCAGAUGGAUGAGAAAGAAACCACAUAUUUGUCCAAUGAUGUUGAAGAAUCUCCAGAUCUAAAACAAGAACUAUCCCAUAAUACUAAUUAUGAAGGAUUUAAAAUGUUGAAGAAUUCAUCUAGUAUAAUUCCAUCUGAAUGUGGUUCUACAACUCAGAAGAAGGAAAAAAUGACAAUGAUGUUGUUACAAAGCAGAUGGUUUUAGAGACUGGUGUGCUGCAAAUUGAUGAAGUUAAGGGCUCUAUUGAUGCAAAUGAAAUGAAACCUCCAGAUAUCACUGUUCCACUCAAGUUGUUGAAGAAGA
Non-coding RNA from Cajanus cajan (pigeon pea), 1243 nucleotides. The record is from RefSeq and is a predicted model, not a curated record. NCBI's taxonomy places the organism in Eukaryota, Viridiplantae, Streptophyta, Magnoliopsida, Fabales, Fabaceae.